UGUAGUGUGUGUAUAGUGAAUGCAGUGUGUAUAGUGAAUGUAGUGUUUUUGUAGUGAGUGCAGAGUGUGUAUAAUGAAUGCAGAGUGUGUAUAGUGAAUGUAGUGUGUUUGUAGUGAGUGGAGUGUGUAUAAUGAAUGUAGUGUGUUUGUAGUGAGUGCAGUGUGUACAAUGAAUGCAGUGUAAGUAGUGUGUUUGUAGUGAAUGCAGAGUGUGUAUAGUGAAUGUAGUGUGUAGUGAGUGCAGAAUGUGUAUAAUGAAUGCAGAGUGUGUAUAGUAAAUGCAGAGGGUGUAUAGUGAAUGUAGUGUGUUUGUAGUGAGUGUAUAGUGAAUGUAGUGUGUUUGUAGUGAGUGAAGAGUGUGUAUAAUGAAUGCAGUGUGUGCAUGUGCUGGAUGACGUGUGUGCGCGCUGGAUGACGUGUGUGUGAGUGCUGGAUGAUGUGUGUGUGAGUG
Molecule: non-coding RNA, 451 nt
Organism: Pelobates cultripes (western spadefoot toad)
Lineage: Eukaryota; Metazoa; Chordata; Amphibia; Anura; Pelobatidae
Source: the annotation of a GenBank genome assembly